AAAAAGUUUUAUUAUUAUUUUAAGGGGUUAAAUUAAAUUUAAUAUUUACAUGUAAAUGUUAGUGGGAGAAAUAAAGAUUAAUAUUUAAAUAAUGUGAUAAUUAGGGGUUAUUCGCAGUAGAAAAUUUUAAAUAUUAGUGAAAGUUAGAUUUGGGGAAAAUUUUUAGUAUUAACAAAAUUUGUGCCAGCAGUUGCGGUUAUACAAAUAAUACGAUUUAACUAGGUUUAGUAUUAAUAUGUAGUAAAUAAUAAAUUUUAAGGGAGAAUUUAUUAGGUGGAAUUUUAAAUUUUGAGGGGAUUUAUUUUUGAUUAUUAGUUAAGAAAUUUAUAAAUAGACUAGGAUUAGAUACCCUAUUAUUUUAAAUGUAAAUUUAUGCUAGAUUAGUAUUAGUUAAGUUCUUGAAAAUUAAAGAUUUUGGCGGUUUUUUAGUCUGUUCAGAGGAACCUGUCCUAUAAUUGAUAGUCCACGAUUUGAAAGACUUUUUUUAUAGUUUAUAUAUCGUCGUAGUUAGAAUAUUCUAAAAGGAGAAUAAUUUUCAAGAAUUAUUUUUUAAGGAAAAUCAGAUCAAGGUAUAGCUUAUAAAAAAGAAGAGAUGGGUUACAUUAAUUUUAAUUUUGGAUUAUUUUUUAAAAAGAAAUAUGAAUUUGGAUUUGAAUGUAAUUUUAUUGAGAUAAAUAAAAUGAUUUAAGCUCUAAAAUAUGUACAUAUCGCCCGUCGCUUUCAUUUUAAGGUGAAAUAAGUCGUAACAAAGUAGGUUUACUGGAAAGUGGGUCUGGAAAGCA
RNAcentral lists this non-coding RNA (782 nucleotides) under Paraglenea fortunei. Lineage: Eukaryota; Metazoa; Arthropoda; Insecta; Coleoptera; Cerambycidae. The record is from RNAcentral.